This 1312-nucleotide long non-coding RNA is filed under the name Calidris pygmaea (Spoon-billed sandpiper). RNAcentral describes it as "lncRNA (ENSCPGG00000002841.1)". Lineage: Eukaryota; Metazoa; Chordata; Aves; Charadriiformes; Scolopacidae. The record is from RNAcentral.
GCAAUUAAUUAGAGUAGUCUCAAUAUCAGAGAUGUGCCACAGUUAACUUUUGUGAUAUUUUAUUUGGACUGAACAGAUUACAGAAGAACUGAGCUUUGUCCAUAAGUUGGAUGUUGUGUCUCUUUACUACAAACUUACUCAUAACAUAGAAGCACUGAAGACUUUGCAAAUCAAAGACAGGAUUGAGUUGCAGGCUGUCUUGAACCUUAAAGUGAUCAAGAGCUUUAGUAUGAAAGUGCAUUAUGGUGCUCACCUAACAGUUCUUGAAGGACAAAUCCAGGACUUUGAGACAAGUACCAACAUAACUGGGAAUUUCCAUCAUACUUGGCCAUGGCUGCUACAAGCCAGGGUCCCAUCAUCUCUACAGAUAGAUGUGGUUUUUCAAGGGAGAAACGCUACUCAAGAGAGAUAUGUGCACAUUGCAGCUGGAGAAACAUCAAUCACAUACAUAAUAAACUCCUAUUAUGUUGCUCAGCAAGUGGAUAUCUUUUGCCAAAGUGUACAUAAUAGUGAGGCACUUCAGGCAGCUGGCUACCCUAAGGCAAUCAGCUUGAUUCUCAGUUUACAGAAAUCGGAAAGCAAAGCCAAGAGUAUCUGUGAAGUCCAGUAUGAUGACAAAGAUUUAACUGUGACUAUGGAUGUUGACACAGACUUUCAGCUCUAUGGUAUAUUUGAAUUCAUGGCAGAGGUGAAGCAUUCGAUAUCACUUCUACAUCAUCUGGGACUUCCCUUCUUUUUUAAGAUGACAAUUCAAGAGGUUCUGACUGAAAAUGAAAUUGAAGGAGCUCUGAGGCUGGUCUAUGAACAAAACACCAACUUCUCCUUCAGCAUCAGUAGGAAAAAAGACCAGCAAGGUGAAGAGCUGAAUAUAAAAGCGCUCCAGACUCAUCCCUUCUUUCUAUGGUACUUCCCCAGUGCAGCAGAACUGUCUUCUAAGGUAAAUUACGACAUGAGUGAAGCAAAAGGCAAUCUCUACCUCAGGAUGGAAAAAGGGGAUUUCAAUGUUACGACUAAGCUAACGUUCACUGGAACCAGCUACAAUAAUGUCAUUGAAAUAGUCCAGACAAUGUCCCAGUUAAAAAUUCUUCCAAGGCAGUUUACGUUUAUGAUAAUUUACCAAAAAGGCAACAGAACACGUCUGCUGAGGCACAUUGCUCUGUGGGAUGGCAAAGAGAUCAAGGUAACAGGCACUUACACUGGACUCUUCCCAAAGUUGCCCGGAGGACAUGAUGUUCAGGAUAUCAGUGUCAUCUUCUCUGAAGUUUGGAAGAGACCGUACGAACUACAGAGCUGCCAUUGCCCACCCAUUUAA